UCUCCAGUUACAGAGCAGCCACU
This 23-nucleotide non-coding RNA is filed under the name Rattus norvegicus (Norway rat). Lineage: Eukaryota; Metazoa; Chordata; Mammalia; Rodentia; Muridae. The record is from RNAcentral.